This 425-nucleotide ribosomal RNA is filed under the name uncultured Bacteroidota bacterium. RNAcentral's name for it is "bacterial SSU rRNA". It matches the Rfam family "Bacterial small subunit ribosomal RNA", at positions 354 to 776 of the family's 1533-position model. Lineage: Bacteria; Pseudomonadati; Bacteroidota. The record is from RNAcentral.
GUGAGGAAUAUUGGACAAUGGGUGAGAGCCUGAUCCAGCCACCCCGCGUGAAGGAUGACGGUCCUAUGGAUUGUAAACUUCUUUUGUAUAGGAAUAAACCUACUCUCGUGAGAGUAGCUGAAGGUACUAUACGAAUAAGCACCGGCUAACUCCGUGCCAGCAGCCGCGGUAAUACGGAGGGUGCAAGCGUUAUCCGGAUUUAUUGGGUUUAAAGGGUCCGUAGGCGGACCGAUAAGUCAGUGGUGAAAUCUCAUAGCUUAACUAUGAAACUGCCGUUGAUACUGUCGGUCUUGAGUAAAUUUGAAGUGGCUGGAAUAAGUAGUGUAGCGGUGAAAUGCAUAGAUAUUACUUAGAACACCAAUUGCGAAGGCAGGUCACUAAGAUUUAACUGACGCUGAGGGACGAAAGCGUGGGGAGCGAACAGG